CGCGUAUAGAAUCUGCCUUGUACAGGAGGAUAGCCUUUAGAAAUGAAGAUUAAUACUCCAUAAUAUUGGGAAGUGGCAUCACUAUCUAAUUAAAGAUUUAUCGGUACAAGAUGACUAUGCGUCCUAUUAGCUAGAUGGUAAGGUAACGGCUUACCAUGGCAACGAUAGGUAGGGGGUCUGAGAGGAUUAUCCCCCACACUGGUACUGGAGACGACGGACAGACUCCGUACGGGAGCAGCAGUGAGGAAUAUUGGUCAAUGGAGGCAACUCUCGAACCAGCCAUCGCCGCGUGCAAGGAAG
This 300-nucleotide ribosomal RNA is filed under the name uncultured Tenacibaculum sp. RNAcentral's name for it is "bacterial SSU rRNA". It matches the Rfam family "Bacterial small subunit ribosomal RNA", at positions 114 to 413 of the family's 1533-position model. The record is from RNAcentral. Lineage: Bacteria; Pseudomonadati; Bacteroidota; Flavobacteriia; Flavobacteriales; Flavobacteriaceae.